UGGUGGAGUGAUUUGUCUGGUUAAUUCCGUUAACGAACGAGACCUUAACCUAUUAAUUAGUGACGCGAAUUUGGGUGGGCAACCAUCCAGUCGAUUCGUGGGCGCACUUCUUAGAGGGACUCUCGGCAUCUCUAGCCGAUGGAAGUUUGAGGCAAAAACA
This 160-nucleotide ribosomal RNA is filed under the name uncultured eukaryote. RNAcentral's name for it is "partial 18S ribosomal RNA". It matches the Rfam family "Eukaryotic small subunit ribosomal RNA", at positions 1299 to 1458 of the family's 1831-position model. The record is from RNAcentral.